This 90-nucleotide transfer RNA is filed under the name Rhodospirillaceae bacterium. RNAcentral describes it as "tRNA-Ser". It matches the Rfam family "tRNA". From Rfam's summary of the family: Transfer RNA (tRNA) molecules are approximately 80 nucleotides in length. Their secondary structure includes four short double-helical elements and three loops (D, anti-codon, and T loops). Lineage: Bacteria; Pseudomonadati; Pseudomonadota; Alphaproteobacteria; Rhodospirillales; Rhodospirillaceae. The record is from RNAcentral.
GGAUGGGUGCCUGAGUGGUUGAAAGGACCGGUCUUGAAAACCGGCGUGCGUGUAAGCGUACCGUGGGUUCGAAUCCCACCCCAUCCGCCA